RNAcentral lists this ribosomal RNA (119 nucleotides) under Amphilophus citrinellus (Midas cichlid). The record is from RNAcentral. Lineage: Eukaryota; Metazoa; Chordata; Actinopteri; Cichliformes; Cichlidae.
ACUUAUAGCCAUACCACACUGAACACACCUGAUCUUGUUUGAUCUUGGAAGCUAAGCAGGCUUGGGCCUGGUUAGUAGUUGGGUGGUUGACUGUUUGGGAUUACCAGGUGGUGUAAGCU